Molecule: ribosomal RNA, 1287 nt
Filed under: metagenome
Description: bacterial SSU rRNA
Rfam family: Bacterial small subunit ribosomal RNA
Source: RNAcentral
UAGCUAGUUGGUGAGGUAAAGGCUUACCAAGGCGACGAUCUGUAGCGGGUCUGAGAGGAUGAUCCGCCACACUGGAACUGAGACACGGUCCAGACUCCUACGGGAGGCAGCAGUGGGGAAUUUUGGACAAUGGGGGCAACCCUGAUCCAGCCAUGCCGCGUGAGUGAAGAAGGCCUUCGGGUUGUAAAGCUCUUUCGGCCGGGAAGAAAUCGCAUGGGCCAAUACCCUGUGUGGAUGACGGUACCGGAAUAAGAAGCACCGGCUAACUACGUGCCAGCAGCCGCGGUAAUACGUAGGGUGCGAGCGUUAAUCGGAAUUACUGGGCGUAAAGCGUGCGCAGGCGGUUUUGUAAGACAGGCGUGAAAUCCCCGGGCUUAACCUGGGAACUGCGUUUGUGACUGCAAGGCUAGAGUACGGCAGAGGGGGGUGGAAUUCCACGUGUAGCAGUGAAAUGCGUAGAGAUGUGGAGGAACACCAAUGGCGAAGGCAGCCCCCUGGGUCGAUACUGACGCUCAUGCACGAAAGCGUGGGUAGCAAACAGGAUUAGAUACCCUGGUAGUCCACGCCCUAAACUAUGUCAACUAGGUGUUGGGUGGGUAAAACCAUUUAGUACCGUAGCUAACGCGUGAAGUUGACCGCCUGGGGAGUACGGCCGCAAGGUUAAAACUCAAAGGAAUUGACGGGGACCCGCACAAGCGGUGGAUGAUGUGGAUUAAUUCGAUGCAACGCGAAAAACCUUACCUACCCUUGACAUGCCAGGAACUUGCCAGAGAUGGCUUGGUGCCCGAAAGGGAGCCUGGACACAGGUGCUGCAUGGCUGUCGUCAGCUCGUGUCGUGAGAUGUUGGGUUAAGUCCCGCAACGAGCGCAACCCUUGUCGUUAAUUGCCAUCAUUUAGUUGGGCACUUUAACGAGACUGCCGGUGACAAACCGGAGGAAGGUGGGGAUGACGUCAAGUCCUCAUGGCCCUUAUGGGUAGGGCUUCACACGUCAUACAAUGGUCGGUACAAAGGGUUGCCAAGCCGCGAGGCGGAGCCAAUCCCAGAAAGCCGAUCGUAUUCCGGAUUGCAGGCUGCAACUCGCCUGCAUGAAGUCGGAAUCGCUAGUAAUCGUGGAUCAGCAUGUCACGGUGAAUACGUUCCCGGGUCUUGUACACACCGCCCGUCACACCAUGGGAGCGGGUUCCGCCAGAAGUAGGUAGCCUAACCGCAAGGGGGGCGCUUACCACGGCGGGGUUCGUGACUGGGGUGAAGUCGAAACAAGGUAGCCGUAGGGGAACCUGCGGCUG